Molecule: ribosomal RNA, 506 nt
Filed under: uncultured bacterium
Lineage: Bacteria
Description: partial 16S ribosomal RNA
Rfam family: Bacterial small subunit ribosomal RNA
Source: RNAcentral
AGUGAACGCUGGCGGUAGGCCUAACACAUGCAAGUCGAACGGCAGCACAGAGGAGCUUGCUCCUUGGGUGGCGAGUGGCGGACGGGUGAGGAAUACAUCGGAAUCUACUCUGUCGUGGGGGAUAACGUAGGGAAACUUACGCUAAUACCGCAUACGACCUACGGGUGAAAGCAGGGGAUCUUCGGACCUUGCGCGAUUGAAUGAGCCGAUGUCGGAUUAGCUAGUUGGCGGGGUAAAGGCCCACCAAGGCGACGAUCCGUAGCUGGUCUGGGAGGAUGAUCAGCCACACUGGAACAGAGACACGGGCCAGACUCCUACGGGAGGCAGCAGUGGGGAAUAUUGGACAAUGGGCGCAAGCCUGAUCCAGCCAUACCGCGUGGGUGAAGAAGGCCUUCGGGUUGUAAAGCCCUUUUGUUGGGAAAGAAAUCCAUCUGGUUAAUACCCGGGUGGGAUGACGGUACCCAAAGAAUAAGCACCGGCUAACUUCGUGCCAGCCGCCGCCGUAA